AUGCUCUUUACCUUCCCUGUUCUUUCCAGAGUUAUCCAUUUCUUCACUGAAGAAAUGCUUAGGAGGGCUUGUCGGGAGCCAUGCUCUGCGCCACGUGCUGGGCCUUCUGUGAUGGCUUGGUGUGAUGCACGCGCAAGUGAGUUAAUAUAUCACGAUGGAGUGUCAUACGUCCAACAGAAAGAGGAAUCGAGCAACAACAGCAACGUUGAGACACUAGUGUAUAAUAACAGGAGCAAAAAGAUGAGUUUAAUGGAACAGGGGAGAGAAAGAAGAAAGGAGAGUUCUGUCUGCCUCAGAGGAAUUGAGGAUGUGGGUGUCCUGGAAAGGUGGGAAGAGGAGUCCUCCUUUUCUGGCCAUGUCCUUCUCUCAAGUGGGGGGAUGCCAGGCUCAAGGGGAGAAAAGAGCUAUCAUCCCUGGAGGAUGCUUCAAUUCUGGAAGUGCCCACACCUUGUCGGCUCGGAUGCACACCCUUUAGGAGGCGGAGGCGAAGGUGCCCGUGUGAGCCCACCAGACAACAUGGCCGCACGCCCAGCUCCACUGCUCUACUCUACCUUUGCCUAA
RNAcentral lists this long non-coding RNA (561 nucleotides) under Felis catus (domestic cat). RNAcentral's name for it is "lncRNA (ENSFCAG00000045249.2)". Lineage: Eukaryota; Metazoa; Chordata; Mammalia; Carnivora; Felidae. The record is from RNAcentral.